CCUACGGGUGGCAGCAGUGGGGAAUAUUGGGCAAUGGAGGAAACUCUGACCCAGCAACGCCGCGUGAAUGAUGAAGGUCUUCGGAUUGUAAAGUUCUUUUCUAAGGGAAGAAGAAAGUGACGGUACCUUAGGAAUAAGCCUCGGCUAACUACGGGCCAGCAGCCGCGGUAAUCCGUAGGAGGGGAGCGUUAUCUGGAAUGACUGGGCGGAAAGGGUGCGUAGGUUGUUUGGAAAGUUAGGUGGGUAACUCCGAGGCUCAACCUUGGAAAUACCUCUGAAACUGUUGGACUGGAGUGUCGGAGGGGACAGCGGAAUUCCAUGUGUAGCGGUGGAAUGCGUAGAUAUUUGGAAGAACACCAGUGGCGAAGGCGGGUUGCU
This 378-nucleotide ribosomal RNA is filed under the name uncultured bacterium. RNAcentral's name for it is "partial 16S ribosomal RNA". It matches the Rfam family "Bacterial small subunit ribosomal RNA", at positions 338 to 730 of the family's 1533-position model. The record is from RNAcentral.